This 44-nucleotide transfer RNA is filed under the name Cyphostemma maranguense. RNAcentral's name for it is "partial tRNA-His". The record is from RNAcentral. Lineage: Eukaryota; Viridiplantae; Streptophyta; Magnoliopsida; Vitales; Vitaceae. RNAcentral also lists the same sequence under 4 other names.
GGCGGAUGUGGCCAAGUGGAUUAAGGCAGUGGAUUNGUGAAUCC